Molecule: long non-coding RNA, 10234 nt
Filed under: Gossypium barbadense (sea-island cotton)
Lineage: Eukaryota; Viridiplantae; Streptophyta; Magnoliopsida; Malvales; Malvaceae
Description: long non-coding RNA (GBAR_LNC004207)
Source: RNAcentral
GUGGGUGGAUAACAAUAAUUUUUUUGCUUCUUUGUGCUUGUUUUGUUUGUGUAGUAGAGGUUUGGUGGAAUUGAAAUUAUGUGAUAGUUGGAUGAGGAUUAGUGUGGCGGAUUUUAUGGGAUUUGAUUGGUAAUGAGGCUAGUGGGGAGUUGAGAGUAUUAUUUUGAAUUUAAUUUAAUUUUAAUUUAAUUUUUUAUUUGUUUCCAAAUUUUUUUUUCUAUUUUCCUCACGUUUUUGGUUCUUUUGCUCAUUUUCUUUUGACCUUUUUUGGGUCCCUUCCCCUUUUGCCUCUUUCUUCAACUUCGGCCUCUAAUUGCUCAAUUUAAUCGUUGUCACUUGGAUCCUUUUUGGUUCUUCUUUCGGUUUAGUAAGUAGGGUUUGUACAGCCCAAUUUUGGGCCCAAACUAAAAAACCUUAAGCCCAAUUAUAGCCCAUAACCUAAACAGAGAACAGAAACCCUAGGAGCCGCCUCUGCCCCUGUCCCAUCGCACCAUGCCUGUUCCACCGCCCUUGUCAGCCACCUACUCCUCAACUUGCUCCAAUCACCUGCACGAAGAAAAGAUAGCAAAUAAAUGUUGUAACAAAUCGGCUAUAAAGCCGAAUAGAAACCAAUAUAAAAAGGGGGGUUCGUUUUUUGUCAUAAACUCAUACACAUCAAUUGAAACGAAAAAGAGAAAUCAAAAUACUAUUUUUCUCUACAAAGGCACAUCGUUUUUUUACUUAUAUUUUUAGAUAUAACAUACCAUAGAAGACACAUAGAUAUUUUCAAAGAAAAGAGAAGAAAAGCAUUACCUUUCUUGAGAUUGGAGGAAGAAACCGAGGGUUUAUUGUCUUUUGUUUUAUUUUUUAUUAAGAGUUUUGGGGUUUUUAAACGAGGAAGGGAAGGCCAAAUCGGCCGAAAAAAAGGGUGACUUGGGAACGCCGGCCACCGUAUACGGUGGCGGUUCGACGACGGCGGUGAAAUGGGUUCCUUUUGAAACCCAAACAGAUCUAAAAAUGAAGAAAAUGGGAGGGGGGCUGCUGGUCGUUUCUGGAAAAGAAAGAAAAUGAAAGAUUAUUAUUAUUUUUUAAAAAAUGGGCCUUUUAUAUGUUAAUAAAAUGACGCUGUUUUGGCAAGAAGGAAUAAUUCCUAUUUUCAUCCCUUUACUUUGUGCGUGUAUGGCAAUAUGGUCCUCCCUUUUUUUUUUCGAAUUUACCCACCAACUCCUGUUUUAAGCCAAUUUAGUCCCUUUUUUAGUUAUUUAGAUACUUUGUUAUUAAAAUUAUUUUUACUUUCUUUACUUUUAUUAUUUAUCGUUAACCAUUAUUAUUAUUUCCUUUUAUUGUUACUAACAUAUUAACCAAUUUAAUAUUAUUUUUGCCACUAUUAUUUUCCCUUUCAUUUACUUAUUGUUUAUUAUUAUUAGAUUAAGUUGAUAUAUUGUUAUUAUAUAUUAUUGUUAUAUUCCUAUUUAUAUUUGUUGUCUUAUUCUAAAAAUUACUAUUAUUUCUUUAUUUUUAUUUUAUGUAUUAUAUUAUUAGUUUUUACUAUUGUUAGUAUUAGUUUUAGCUUUAAUUAAUAUUUUUUAACAUGCAUAUAUAUAUACUUUUAUGUAAUAUUAUUAAUAAUUAUUUUUAAACAUUAUUAUUAUUUUUAAUACGUGCAUAUAUAUUAUGUGUAUAUAAUUGUUUUUAAUAUUAUAUUAUUUCUAAUAUGUAUAUAUUAUGUAUUUAUCUCUAAUACUAUACAUUGUAUAUUUCUAAUACUAUUAUGCUAUUACCAUUACUAUUAUUAUUAUUAUUACUUAUAUUAUUAUCAUUAUUAUCAUUAUGAUUUAUUACUUUAUUAUUAUCAUUAUUACUACUAUUAUAUUAUUAUUAUUAUAUUUUUACCCAUUACUCUUUAAAUACACUUAUUUUAUUUUUAUUUUUUCAGUCACAUUAUAUAUUAUUUACUUAUUUAUAUACACACAUACAUAUAUAUACUUUCACACAUCAUUCCAAAAUUAUUACUUGUAUUAUUACUAUUAAUAUUAUUAUUAUCAUUACUAUACUAUCAUUCUUUAGUUUUACAUAAUGAUUGUUUAUUUAUUACUCGUUCUUUUUAAUUUUGAAUAUUUCUUAGCUUAUUCGUUAUCAUUUUAUUUCAGCUCUUAUUAUCAUCGUUCGCAUUUGCUUCUAUGUUUAUUCUGUUAUGCCUAUGAAUAUCCAAAUUUGAAUUUAUUCACGCAUUCUUUAUUAUAUCAUUUUAUUGCAACUUACGUUAUAUUAAUCUUGCCCCGAAGAAAACAAAUUUUUUUCAUAAAAAGCGAUACUCUGUGUUUGGAAUUUCGAGAAAAUCGUGCCCUAACUUACUGGGUUUCGAUUUUUCUCCUUUAACCUAAAUAACGGAAUACUCUUUUAAAUCGCAAUACGAGUUUUGAAAAAUGCUUAUUCUCGGAGAUACGAUGUGUUGUGCCCUAACUUACCGGGUAUGGUAUUUUGUUACCUCAAAAUAAGAUUUUUGCAAGUAAAGGCAAUAUUCGGUGUUCGAAAAUUCGAAGAAACGUGCCCUAACUUACUGGGUUUCGAUUUUCCUCGUUCACCUUAACUAACCGAAUAUCCUUUUGAAAUACACGAAUUUUUAGGUAAAAGACAAGCUCAUUCUCAAAAGUUCGAUAUGUUGUGCCCUAACUCACUAGAUAUGACAUUUUGUUGCUUCGAGACGAGAAGAUAUUUAACGUUCGAAUGUUUUUACAAAAAGGGGGAUCGUAUUUCAAAGUUUUUUCGAGUUUUCAAUUUUCGACACUAAGACACUAAUUAAUCAACUAGGUACCAAUUUUUGGGCGUAUCGAGGGUGCUAAUCCUUCCUCAUGCGUAAAUGACUCCCGAACUCAUUUUCUAAUUUUCGUAGACCAGAAAUUAUCGUUUUAGUAAAUCUUAACUUUUAUUAAAAUGAUUAAUUUGAGGUGACCCAAUCACACCUCAUCAAAAAGGAUUGGUGGCGACUCCUUUGUUCGUUUUCAUUUUCAAAAUCCAAUUCGAUUCCCCUUUUUUUCAAAAAAUGGUUACGACAGCUUGGCGACUCCACUGGGGACGACAAAUAAGAGGGUCGAGCCACAAGUUGAUUAACUUUUGUCUUUUUUUCGAACAUUGAAAAUUUGGUUUUGAUAUACGAUAGCUUCAUUGCAUUUCACCUGUUUUCCUUACAGUUUUCAUCAUUUUAUUCCUAUUCUCUUUAAUUGCUUUGAGUUUUUUAUGCAUAUAUCAUCGUACAUUGCAUUGCAUGACCGUUGUGGUCACAUCCUUUAAGUGGGAGUGAAAAACUACUCAUUCGUGAGGUUUUCACCUCCGUGCAGGAUAGUAGAUCACUUUCGGGAUACAUCCGUACCUACGUUUUCGUGAGAUUUUCAUCUCCGUGCAGCCAUAGGAAAAUGUAUUCCCCUGAAAUGAACUCGGUCUGUAUGAGCCUAUAAUGGGUGAAAAUCGAGGAAUCUGCUGGUUCAGGUACCUUUACUCUAGAACCAAACUACAUAUAGAGAGACCUAGGAGCCCACCCUAGGUAGAGCCACUCCGAACCCCUAGUGGUCACCCAAAUUACUUUAUUUGUUUUUUAUUUAUCCUGUACUAACGUGUUUUGUUUUUGUCUUGUUUAUUACUGCAUUGCAUUACAUCAUUAUAGGAAGGAGGUGUUGAUUCAUAUUUGAUUUCUAAAUAGAACAGUUUGUCAUAAGAAAAUGAAUUUUUUGAUAAAGUGGAUUAUAACACGGUUGUCUAAAUAUGGUCCAAGUAAACACAAUGAAAGAAGGCUGAUAGUCCGCAAAGAAAUACAAGACUUUGCUUCAUUGCCUGAGGAUACAAGCCGUCAAAGAUUAUUCAAGAGUCGUCAUGUCUUAAAGGAGCUGACGAGUAUUGCAGGGACAAGUGAUCAAUGAGUCGCGGCCUGGAUCAAGCAAAAGAGAGUUAAUAUAGACAUCUCUUGGGGAAUUUGCAAGACUCGACCAUAAAAUCCGAAUGUGAAGAGGAAGAUAUGUGUCUUCACUUGGAAUAUGAGAAAGGCCGUAUAUGUAGUCCAUUUUAUGUAAAGGAAUUUGUUUUCUAAAAAAGUUGUUCUAAUGAAAUUGAAUUCAGAAUCAAUGCAUUCCUUUCUUUUGCAUUCAUUUCAUGCAUUUGCAUUGCAUUGCAUUAUUUGCAUUAGACUUUCCCUAAAAGAACCCUAAUUAGGUAAAAUUAUUUCAGUUAACCUGGGAACCGAUAAAAGUCAAGCGACUAGGCAUCUUUACGGUACAAGGAAAAGGAUAAAAGAUAUGGAUCAAAGAUUGGAAAGACUGGAACAACUUAAAAAAGAAAUGCAAGACCAGUUACAACUGCAAAUGCAAGAGCAACUGGCGAAGAUCCAACAAGACAUGAGGGACCAAAUGUUAGAAUCCCAAAGGGAUAUGAUGAAUCAGUUGUCCCAAUUACUGACUAAGGGGCUAAAAAAAAAGAAAAAAACUCCAUGAUCAAUGCUGGGGAGGAUAAUGAGGAGCCUCUGUACCCUCCGGGUUUCACCCCAACAAACGAUCAGAUAUGUCCCAGGGUGCACCUACUACUAUCAGAUCACAACAUCAGGUCGGUACCUCGACACCCAUGAACUACCCGACGGGCUCAAGUUCCAAUCCAAGGAACAGUCCAACCAAUCAUGAAGUUCUUAAUCUAGACGAAAUGGAAGGAAUAGAAAAAGCAAAGGUUGAACUGGCAAGACAACUCGAAGAUCGAUACAAGUGGUUGGAAGAAAAACUUAAAGUAAUGAAGAAUGCUGAUUACCAUUGCGGGGUCAAUGCCAAGGAUCUGAGUUUGGUCCCUGAUCUAGUACUCCCGCCAAAAUUUAAGACUCCAGAGUUUGAAAAGUACAAUGGGACUAGUUGUUCUAAAGCUCACAUCACAAUGUUCUGUCGAAGGAUGAUGGGAUAUGUUAAUAACGACCAAUUAUUAAUUCAUUGCUUCUAAGACAGCCUGAUCGGGUCAGCAACUAAAUGGUACAAUAAAUUAAGUCGUACUAAAAUCAAUUCAUGGAAAGACUUAGCACGGGCUUUCAUGAAGCAGUAUGGCCACGUGACAGACAUGGCGCCCGACAAAAUUACACUACAGAAUAUGGAAAAAAAAGCGAAGUGAGAGCUUCAGACAAUAAGCCCAAAGAUGGAGAGAGGUAGCAACACUAGUCCAGCCGCCUCUUCUGGAAAAGAAGACCACGAUGCUUUUCAUUAAUACUCUGAAAGCCCCGUUCAUUAACCAUAUGUUGGGAAGCACUACUCUGAGCUUCUCAGACAUAGUAAUAUCCGACGAGAUGAUUGAAAAAGCAAUCAGGAGCGGAAAGAUAGAUAAAUGAGAAAGCGCUAAAAGGUCAACCCCGAGAAAUAACGAAAAUGAAGUGAACAUUGUGAGCAUGCCGUCCAAAUUGAUCAACAUAGGCCAACCGAGGACUGUAACCACUAGCUAUCAAGGCUCUUUGAGGUAGGAAUCUAACUUGAGGCCGAAUACAGAAAGGUUUCGGUUUACACCCAUCCCAAUGUCAUAUAAAGAGUUGUAUCAAAAUCUCUUUGAUGUGCAUGUUGUGUCUCUGUCUUACUCGGAACCGUACAACCUUUGUUCCCGAAAUGGUAUAAUGAGAAUGCUCAAUGCGAGUACCACGCAGGAAUAACGGGGCACUCAAUUGAAAACUGCACUACAUUUAAAAAGUUGGUCGAAGAGUUCAUUGCAAUGGGAGUUGUGAAGUUUGACAAUUCCUCAUAACCAAAUCACUCCGACAAUGCAGUAAAUGCAAUUUGAAAGUGGGGGCAAGAGAGUUGCAAUGCCUUGAACAAGUCAAAAGCCUGGAAGAAAUAUCAGGGAAUCUGAAUGACUUAUCCGAAGAGGGAACCAGGGAAUAAAAGUUUCCAAACCCUUGCAUUACUUGGAAGUGUUUUGAACAAUGGGACUGUGGAAAAGAUCCCUUUAUUUUUAGAGUUAAUCUAGAGUAAUAUUCAAAACAUGCUUGUUGCUUUAAGCCUAGAAGCAAUUAGACCCCUUUUGUGAAAUAGGCUUGUGUCCUAAGUCUUUAUUUCAUAAAAUGCAUCUUUUUGAGCAAAUAUUCUUUGAUUUCAUAUUAUACAAAUAAUCGUUCUUAGAUUUAUUUGUUCUUUGGACUUUCUUUCAAAUAUUCAUGUAUACUUCAUCCAUGAUCAUACCAUACAAAUAAUCAUCCUUAGAAUUAUUUAUUUUUUAGAAUCUGCCUUCAGCGGGUCCCUAGAUAUCAAUGAUGUGAGUAUCGCUGUCAUUGACUCCGAGUCUCCUUUUGAGCGAAAUAUGGGCCUAAAGGAAUCUCAACACUUUGAAGAUGACAAAGAUUGUAGCACAUCUCCUAAUUUGUUAAGGAUGGUAGAGCAAGAUGAAAACAGAUUCUCUCUUACAAAAAAUCAGUGGACAAUAGGCCUAGAACAAGAGAAAGAGGCAAACAUUGGAGUCUGCAUCACCACAAAGACAAAGCGAGACAUCAUUGAGUCAUUCCAAGAAAUCAAAAAUGUUUUCACAUGAUCAUAUCAAGAUACGCUUGGGUUACUAAGACGUGAGGAUGCUACAAGGUGUUUGAACAGCAUAUGCUAAUGGUUCUAUAAUGGUCAGGCUAAUCAUGAGAUUUGGAUUCUGCCGGUCCACCAGAGAAGGGGAUUGUGUCAGUAUGCCAAAUUUAUGGAGAGAAAAUUCAUGUGUCCCUUCAUUCUUUCGACUUUCUCUAUGUGGGGCAUGGAGGUUAUAGGACCGAUCUCGUCGAAGGCUUCUAGCAGGCAUCAAUUACUUCGCCAAGGGGUGAAAGUCGCUUCAUAUGCCAAUCAUCAAAUCCUAAAAAAGAAGAAGAAGAAGAAGAAGAAGAAGAAGAUCAUGGAAAGAUGACUGAGACUUGUAAAGAUCGGCAUAAGAAGUCAUCAUGUACCCUCUAUGCUUAUCGAACGUCGACCAGGACCUUAGCUGGGGCAACACAUUGCUUGUUGGUUUAUGGGAUAGAAUCGGUUUUGAAGAUGAGAUUCCUUUUCUCCGAGUCUGGUCAGAGUUGAAGUUAGAUAAGGCAGAAUGGAUCCAAUCCUGAUAGGAUCAAUUGAAUUUGAAAAGAGAAGGUUGAAAGCUAUCUGUUGAAGUCCAAUGCACUGAAAAUUGAUGCAAGCUACGACAGAAAUUUUCGUCCUAGAGAAUUCCACGAGGGGGACCUAGUGCUGAAAAUAUACUUUUUAUACAAAAGAACUUCAAAGGAAAGUGGACCAAAUUGGGAAGGACCUUAUGUAGUGAAGAAGGUCUGUUCUAGAGGAGCAUUGAUUCUAGCCGAAAUGGAUGGUAAAAAUUUGCCCAAUCUUGUGAAUUCAGAUUUUGUCAAGAAGUGUUUCACCUAGAAAGUGAGAAGGCCAAGGCGAAAACCCGCAAAGGACGCUUUGAGACAUUCCAAAAAAAAAAUGAAUGAACAAGAAAAAGAAAAAAAAAGAGGAGAGGCCAUGGCAAAAACCCGCAAAGGGCACCUUGAGACCUAAGGGGAUUUGAGUUGAACACCCGAAAGGGGCGGCUCAAAUUUGGAUCAAAGUGGGGCAUACGUUAGUCUUGCUAUGCCUGAAUUAACAAUGAAGAAGUAUGCUACAUCUUGGGGCAUCGACAAAGUACUCCGGAUCCCCUAAACACAUAUUGGGCUCAGAAAGGUCCUCAAGAAGUUGGUAUAGAGAAGCUCAAGCUGCGAUAUCUGGGGGCAUCUGGCUUCCAUUUUGCCCAUUUUGAAUUUGUUAUCUUUGAUUCUUUUCAAGAUAUGUCUGAAUAAAUUUUCUUCUUAUUGCAUUGCAAUCUUUGAUUAACUUAUUCAUUUUCAGUUAAUUUCCUCCUUAUUGCAUUUGCAAUCUUUGAUUAAUUUAUUCAUUUCGAGCUAUGCUCCCAAUCAAGUUCCUUCUUGUCCAUUGUUUUAAUAUUUUUAGCAUUUUGUAUUGAAAUAACGAUUAAUGAACUAAUAAUACUUUCACAAAAGAAGCUCUGCAUAUUACUUUGGAAGCUUCUAAAUAGUACAUGAGCCUGAAACAGGACUAUUAUUCAGAACUCACCAAGCCCAAGGGCUGGAAAUAUUUAAGCCCAAAUUGAAAUUAUCUCAUUGGGUUUUCUGUCAAAGAUAUUGGUUGAGCAAAAAGAAAUUACAUUGGUGUUAUAAUCCCAGCAAAGAACCAGCAAUGGGAUUAUUCUCGUGAAAAGAAAAAUGAUACUCUGCAUUUAUGCAAAUAUCAAGCAUAUACAUCUGGUCAUUACACCCAGGGAAUGGUGUAACAGAUCAAAUUGAUUGAAGAUGAUACUAAUCCUAUACCUUUGAGUUGCAGCAGGAUGGAUGGAAGAAACCAAAUGUUGUUCCUCUGAAAAUGCAAUGGGAGGCACAAACUUUAUGUCCCAGAAGGUACAGUGGAAGGGACUCUGAAAUUACAGCUGGGUAAGCUUGCUGAGCAAAUGUGAUUAUUUCUUUGACUUUUCUGUCAAGAAUACCAACCGAACAAGAUGGCCGCGUAAUACGUCAGUGAUAAUGUCCUGAUGAACAACGAGCGAUGAUACCUUAAGCCUUUUUAAAGGGAUCAUUUUCAUUCAUAUGUCAUUCAUAACAUAUCUAAUUAGGAGCAUUUGAUUCAUUUUGAUCAUAGCCUCCUAAUUAUUUGACACAUUCAUAACACAUCUAGUUAGGAGCAUUUGAUUCAUUUCAAUCACAGCAUCCUAAUCAUUUGACAUAAGCAUAGAUACAUGAAACUGAUUCUACAAGUCAUGUCCUUAUAAUCAGUGAAUUCACAAGCCUUAACCCCCUAAGCAGUAGGGCAACAGGCUGAAUUGACAGAUCUUAAUCCCCUAAGCAGUAGGGAAACAGAUCGAAGGUAACAAGCCUUGACCCCCUAAGCAGUAGGGUAACAGGCUGAAGAUUUGCAGACCUCAUCACCCUAAGCAGUAGGGAAACAGAUCAAAGACGGCGAGCCUUAACCCCCUAAGCAGUAGAGUAACAGGCUGAAUUACAAAUCACUUCUCCCUGAAAUGGCGUUGGAGCAGCUAGAAGCCAUAGCAGACUCCUUGAAGUUUCAGUGGAGUAGAUUGAAAUCACAAGUCUUAUCUCCCUGAAGUUGCAGUGGAGCAGACUAAAUAUAGCAAAUCUUAUUUCCCUGAAGUUGCAGUGGAACAGAUUGAAGCUAUAAAUCAUAGAUCUCAUCUCUCUGAAGUUGCAGUAGAGCAGAUCAACACAAGUCUUAUCUCCCUGAAGUUGCAGUGGAGCAGACUAAAGAUAGCAAAUCUUAUUUCCCUGAAGUUGCAGUGGAACAAAUUGAAGCUAUAAACCAUAGAUCUCAUCUCUCUAAAGAUGUAGUAGAGCAGAUCAACACAAGUCUUAUCUCUCUAAAGUUGCAGUGGAGUAGACUAAAGAAAGAAAAUUUUAUUUCACUGAAGUUGCAGUGGAACAGAUUGAAGCUAUAAACCACAGAUCUCAUCUCUCUGAAGAUGUAGUAGAGCAGAUCAACACAAGUCUUAUCUCCCUGAAGUUGUAGUGGAGCAGACUAAAGAAAACAAGUCUUAUUUCCCUGAAGUCGCAGUGGAACAUAUUGAAGCUAUAAAUAAACAGAUCUUAUCUCUCUGAAGUUGCAGUAGAGCAAAUCAAAAUAAACUUUAUCUCUCUGAAAUCGCAGUAGAGCAGUAAAGCGGAGUGAAGCAAUAAGAUGCAGUGGAUUUGAAUGAAGCUACCUGAAGAAAAGGAGCACUAAACAAGUCAAAACACGGUGAGACCGAACAAAAUUGGUCUUUCUUAAUUCUUUGCUCUGUUCUCAUUACACGACAACAAGCAAAGAAGGGUAGCUUUACAACCCAAUUUUGGGCCUAAACUAAAAAACCGUAAGCCCAAUUACAGUCCAUAACCUAAACAGAAAACAGAAACCCUCGGAGCCGCCUCUUCUCCCUGUCCCAUCGCACCAUGCCUGCUCCACCGCCUUUGUCAGCCACCUACUCCUCAACUUGCUCCAAUCGCCUGCACGAAGAAAAGAUAGCAAAUAAAUAUUGUAACAAAUAGGCUAUAAAGCCGAAUAGAAACCAAUGUAAAAAGGGGGGUUCGUUUUUUGUGAUAAACUCAUACACAUCAAUUGAAACGAAAAAGAGAAAUCAAAAUACUAUUUUUCUCUACAAAGGUACAUCGUUUUUUUACUUAUAUGUUUAGAUAUAACAUACCAUAGAAGACACAUAGAUAUUUUCAAAGAAAAGAGAAUAAAAACAUUACCUUUCUUGAGAU